CAGUCGCCGCGGGAAUACGAAGGGGGCUAGCGUUGCUCGGAAUGACUGGGCGUAAAGGGCGCGUAGGCGGCGAUCAAAGUCAGGCGUGAAAUUCCUGGGCUCAACCUGGGGGCUGCGCUUGAUACUUGGUUGCUUGAGUGGGGAAGAGGGUCGUGGAAUUCCCAGUGUAGAGGUGAAAUUCGUAGAUAUUGGGAAGAACACCGGUGGCGAAGGCGGCGACCUGGUCCUUUACUGACGCUGAGGCGCGAAAGCGUGGGGAGCAAACAGGAUUAGAUACCCCUGUAGUCCCUGUCUCUUAUAA
RNAcentral lists this ribosomal RNA (301 nucleotides) under uncultured bacterium. Its description in RNAcentral is "partial 16S ribosomal RNA". It matches the Rfam family "Bacterial small subunit ribosomal RNA", at positions 509 to 809 of the family's 1533-position model. The record is from RNAcentral.